This 440-nucleotide ribosomal RNA is filed under the name uncultured bacterium. RNAcentral describes it as "bacterial SSU rRNA". It matches the Rfam family "Bacterial small subunit ribosomal RNA", at positions 66 to 525 of the family's 1533-position model. The record is from RNAcentral.
GCUAGGAACAUUAAAUGGUUGAAUAAUGUGUGAAAGUACACGAGCGGCGGACGGCUGAGUAACGCGUAGGAAUGUACCCCAAAGUGAGGAAUAAGCAUCGGAAACGAUGUCUAAUGCCGCAUGUGAUCUACGGAUUAAAGCCUUCGGGCGCUUUGGGAGCAGCCUGCGUAAGAUUAGUUUGUUGGUGAGGUAAAAGCUCACCAAGACUACGAUCUUUAGCUGGUCUGAGAGGAUGAUCAGCCAGACUGGGAUUGAGACACGGCCCAGACUCCUACGGGAGGCAGCAGUAGGGAAUUUUCCACAAUGGACGAAAGUCUGAUGGAGCAACGCCGCGUGCAGGAUGAAGGCUUUCGGGUCGUAAACUGCUUUUAUGAGUGAUGAAUAUGACAGUAACUCAAGAAUAAGGGACGGCUAAUUACGUGCCAGCAGCCGCGGUAAUA